RNAcentral lists this ribosomal RNA (447 nucleotides) under Undeuchaeta plumosa. RNAcentral's name for it is "partial 12S ribosomal RNA". Lineage: Eukaryota; Metazoa; Arthropoda; Copepoda; Calanoida; Aetideidae. The record is from RNAcentral.
CUUAAAAUAAAAUUAAAAAUUAUAAUUUUUAAAUUUUAAUAAAAUAAUAUUAUACUGGUCGUGAAGAAAUAAAUUAAAAAAUUAUUAAUUUAUUUUUAUAAAUUAAUGAUUAAAACUAGGGUUAGAUACCUACUAUUAUUAAAUUAAAUUUAUUUAAGUAGUAAAUGAUUAAUCAUUAAACUUAAAUUUCAUGGCAGUAUUUUACUCCUUGCAGAGGAAUUUGAAUAAUAAAUGAUAAUCCUCACUAUUAUUUACUUAAAUUUAUUUUAUGUGUGGUUGUUUAAAUGAGUAUAAAACUAUAAAUUUUAAAUCAGAUUUUAUGUAAAAAUAAUUAAGAUAUUUUAAUUAUAAUUUUUAAAUUAUAAUCAUAAGAUUUGCAUGUAAUAUAAUGAUAAUUAUAUGAUGUGGUUUUAAAAUAUGUUCAUAUUGUCCGUCACUCUCAGAGAU